UGGGGAAUAUUGGACAAUGGGCGAAAGCCUGAUCCAGCCAUGCCGCGUGUGUGAAGAAGGUCUUCGGUUUGUAAAGCACUUUAAGUUGGGAGGAAGGGCAGUAAGCGAAUACCUUGCUGUUUUGACGUUACCGACAGAAUAAGCACCGGCUAACUCUGUGCCAGCAGCCGCGGUAAUACAGAGGGUGCGAGCGUUAAUCGGAUUUACUGGGCGUAAAGCGUGCGUAGGCGGCUAAUUGAGUCGGAUGUGAAAUCCCCGAGCUUAACUUGGGAAUUGCAUUCGAUACUGGUUAGCUAGAGUGUGGGAGAGGAUGGUAGAAUUCCAGGUGUAGCGGUGAAAUGCGUAGAGAUCUGGAGGAAUACCGAUGGCGAAGGCAGCCAUCUGGCCUAACACUGACGCUGGGGUACGAAAGCAUGGGGAGCAAACAGG
Molecule: ribosomal RNA, 429 nt
Filed under: Pseudomonadota bacterium
Lineage: Bacteria; Pseudomonadati; Pseudomonadota
Description: Proteobacteria bacterium partial 16S ribosomal RNA
Rfam family: Bacterial small subunit ribosomal RNA
Source: RNAcentral